GGGUUGCCAUCAUCCGUCCGAAAAUACUUGUCAUCAAAAUGGAUAAAAAGGGAUGUAUCUAGAACUAAUAUACGUUAGAUACAUUCCCUUUUAUUCAUUUUGAUGACAAGUAUUUCCGGACGGCGGGAGUAUUGU
Triticum aestivum (bread wheat) is the source of this 135-nucleotide non-coding RNA. The record is from Rfam. NCBI's taxonomy places the organism in Eukaryota, Viridiplantae, Streptophyta, Magnoliopsida, Poales, Poaceae.